AGUGGUUUUUAAAGAGAAUGUUAUGUUUCAUAUAACACCAGAUAUUCACCAGAUGAACUGAUGUUUUCCAACUUGUACUAAACUGUGUAUUGUCCCUCAUCAGGAUGGAAAUGACCUCCCCCCACCCAUUGGCUUUGAUGUGGACACACCCACCACUCUCCCACCUUGUAAGCGAUGCGUUUCCAUCUGCUGAAGCACACACGACUGAAUGUGGUGAACGUUCCUCAACGAGCUGCCAUAAACCCAGCAUGACAUCAUCUCUUUCACCGUGGACAAUACGCUGCUGUCAUUCACAGUGGGCGGAGUCUUCAAAGAAGUUGUUGUAGAUGAUAAAUCUAAAGAAUCUACAAGGUUUUCAUCACAGUUCCAGCAGUGGAUUCUGGGUAGGUUACACACGUAAAACCAAAGUGCUCAUUAUCAGCUGUAGCUUCAGAUAAUGCUUGCCUCCACUAGUAUGACUGGAAUGAACAAACAGUAAAUACUGUUUCACCACAUGUGUUUUCUGUGUAUUCCUAUAUUUACCUAAUGUAUAUUUAUUUGUCCAUAAAAUAAAAUGAUAAACGCUUUUACA
This 571-nucleotide long non-coding RNA is filed under the name Gouania willdenowi (blunt-snouted clingfish). RNAcentral describes it as "lncRNA (ENSGWIG00000002745.1)". The record is from RNAcentral. Lineage: Eukaryota; Metazoa; Chordata; Actinopteri; Blenniiformes; Gobiesocidae.